RNAcentral lists this long non-coding RNA (1378 nucleotides) under Melopsittacus undulatus (budgerigar). Its description in RNAcentral is "lncRNA (ENSMUNG00000020886.1)". The record is from RNAcentral. Lineage: Eukaryota; Metazoa; Chordata; Aves; Psittaciformes; Psittaculidae.
CUGUGGCUGCCCCAUCCCUGGCAGUGUUCAAGGCCAGGUUGGACACAGGGGCUUGGAGCACCCUGCUCCAGUGGAAGAGGUCCCUGCCUAUGGCAAGGGGUUGGAGCUGGAGGAGCUUUAAGGUCCCUUCCAACACAAACCAUUCCAUGAUAAGCUGGAACCUGGGGCCAGUUGCUGCUGCUUUGGGAUAUCUCCAUCUGCUGCGACACCCAUGGUAGUGCUGUGCCUGAAGGGAAAUGAAGACUUUCUUGGGAGCAUCCCCUAAUUUUGUAUGGAAAAGGUGGAUGCUGCUGCUCAGCAAUGCAGUGAGAAAUGUCUGUGCUUCUGUUGUAGAUCCCUGUGCAAGCCCUGGAGAACGGGAUCUGCAGCAGGACAACAGCUCUUGGAGACCAAGGCUGGAGUUGGGAUCCCGAAGGCAAGUGAUGGUGUUGCUGGAGAGGCUCCAUCCCUCUCUGAAGAGCCUUUGGAGGUGGAUGUGGGGCUCACUGCUAUGACAGAAGAUGAGGAGAAGGAGCUGGACCUCCCUGUCCUACAGCAACAAGAGGAUGCCCAAAGCCUGACAAGCAAAAAGAAGCAAGAGCAAAGGAAGCAGAAGGAAAAGGGAUUGCUGGGAGAAAGAGGGAGGAGGAAGCAUAAAGGGAAGGAAAGAAAAAGAGGGAAGAAGGAGGAUAAACUGGAUGAAAGUCCUGGGAAUGUGAUGGAAAGCAUCAAGGAGGAAAGUGCUGAUGGGGGCAGCAAUAAGACAAGGGGACAGGGAAGAGCCAAGCAAGGGAGCAGCAACAACACCUGGAAACAGGGUGGCACGAAGAAAAAGCAGAAGGGACAAAUAGGGAAGUGCAAGGAGGUUAAAAUGGCAAAGGUGGGGAAAAUGGGGAAGAAGACAAUAAAGAAGGACAAGCUGGAAGAGGAGCAAGAGCUGGAGAAGGCACAUGAAGGGGAAGGAGAAAAAGGAGUGGGAGAUGAACUGGAGGAGAAAGAUGUGGUGGGAAAGGGAAGUGAAGAUAGGGAAGGGGUGAAGGAGGAGGAUGAGAAAGGGGAUGAAGGAUGGGGUGAGACCCACAGUGCAGGUGUCAAAGAGGAGGUGAAGGAUGAGGAGGGUGAGGAAGGGAAGGGAGAUGUGCCACGGAAAAGGAAGGUGAAAAAGCCAGAGGAGGAAAUGGAGAAAAGGGAGAAAAGUGAAGAGGAGACACCGAGGAAGAAGCCAAAGAGGAAAUCUAAGGAAGGAGGAGGGGAAAAGAGCAAUCAAAAGGCUAAAAAGAAGAAAGAGGAAGAAAAAGAGGACACCGAAAACAAGUGGAAAUGGUAAGUGUUGUAUGUGCCUUGGACCUGGGGGCAGGUCUAACCCUAAUGCAAUUGGGGGUUUAGCUUUAUUUCUUAG